GACCCGUCUUGAAACACGGACCAAGGAGUCUAACAUGUGCGCGAGUCUUCGAGUGACCGAAACUCGCCGGCGCAAUGAAAGUGAAGGCGGACUCGUCUCCGCCGAGGUGAGAAGCCGUCCUGUCGGGGCGGCCGCAUCAUCGACCGACCUAUUCUGCUCUCAGGAAGGUUUGAGUAAGAGCGCACCUGUUGGGACCCGAAAGAUGGUGAACUAUGCCUGAACAGGGUGAAGCCAGAGGAAACUCUGGUGGAGGCUCGUAGCGAUUCUGACGUGCAAAUCGAUCGUCAAAUUUGGGUAUAGGGGCGAAAGACUAAUCGAACCAUCUAGUAGCUGGUUCCUUCCGA
This 344-nucleotide ribosomal RNA is filed under the name Balanus sp. RNAcentral's name for it is "eukaryotic LSU rRNA". It matches the Rfam family "Eukaryotic large subunit ribosomal RNA", at positions 646 to 964 of the family's 3401-position model. The record is from RNAcentral. Lineage: Eukaryota; Metazoa; Arthropoda; Thecostraca; Balanomorpha; Balanidae.